This 233-nucleotide ribosomal RNA is filed under the name uncultured bacterium. Its description in RNAcentral is "partial 16S ribosomal RNA". It matches the Rfam family "Bacterial small subunit ribosomal RNA", at positions 794 to 1032 of the family's 1533-position model. The record is from RNAcentral.
UCUACGCCGUAAACGAUGGAUACUAGCUGUUCGACCGCAAGGUUGAGUGGCUAAGCGAAAGUGAUAAGUAUCCCAUCUGGGGAGUACGUUCGCAAGAAUGAAACUCAAAGGAAUUGACGGGGGCCCGCACAAGCGGUGGAGCAUGUGGUUUAAUUCGAUGAUACGCGAGGAACCUUACCAGGGCUUAAAUGUAGAUUGCAUAGAGUGGAGACAUUCUUUUCUUCGGACUAUCU